Molecule: ribosomal RNA, 910 nt
Filed under: uncultured bacterium
Lineage: Bacteria
Description: bacterial SSU rRNA
Rfam family: Bacterial small subunit ribosomal RNA
Source: RNAcentral
AGAGUUUGAUCCUGGCUCAGGAUGAACGCUAGCGGCAGGCCUAACACAUGCAAGUCGAACGGUAACAUGAGAGCUUGCUCUUGAUGACGAGUGGCGCACGGGUGCGUAACGCGUAUACAAUCUACCUUUUACAGAGGGAUAGCCCAGAGAAAUUUGGAUUAAUAUCUCAUAGUAUUAUAUUAUGGCAUCAUUAUAUAAUUAAAGAUUUAUCGGUAAAAGAUGAGUAUGCGUUCUAUUAGUUAGUUGGAGUGGUAACGGCACCCCAAGACAGCGAUAGAUAGGGGCCCUGAGAGGGGGAUCCCCCACACUGGUACUGAGACACGGACCAGACUCCUACGGGAGGCAGCAGUGAGGAAUAUUGGACAAUGGAGGCAACUCUGAUCCAGCCAUGCCGCGUGCAGGAAGACUGCCCUAUGGGUUGUAAACUGCUUUUAUACAGGAAGAAACCGCUCUACGUGUAGAGCUCUGACGGUACUGUAAGAAUAAGGAUCGGCUAACUCCGUGCCAGCAGCCGCGGUAAUACGGAGGAUCCAAGCGUUAUCCGGAAUCAUUGGGUUUAAAGGGUCCGUAGGUGGAUAAUUAAGUCAGGGGUGAAAGUCUGCAGCUCAACUGUAGAAUUGCCUUUGAUACUGGUUAUCUUGAGUUAUUAUGAAGUAGUUAGAAUAUGUAGUGUAGCGGUGAAAUGCAUAGAUAUUACAUAGAACACCAAUUGCGAAGGCAGAUUACUAAUAAUAUACUGACACUGAUGGACGAAAGCGUGGGGAGCGAACAGGAUUAGAUACCCUGGUAGUCCACGCCGUAAACGAUGGUUACUAGCUGUUCGGACUUCGGUCUGAGUGGCUAAGCGAAAGUGAUAAGUAACCCACCUGGGGAGUACGUUCGCAAGAUGAAACUCAAAGGAAUUGACGGG